CCUACGGGAGGCAGCAGUAGGGAAUCUUCCACAAUGGACGAAAGUCUGAUGGAGCAACGCCGCGUGAGUGAUGAAGGUUUUCGGAUCGUAAAACUCUGUUGUAAGGGAAGAACAAGUACGAGAGGGAAUGCUCGUACCUUGACGGUACCUUGCGAGAAAGCCACGGCUAACUACGUGCCAGCAGCCGCGGUAAUACGUAGGUGGCAAGCGUUGUCCGGAAUUAUUGGGCGUAAAGCGCGCGCAGGCGGCCUUUUAAGUCUGAUGUGAAAGCCCCCGGCUCAACCGGGGAGGGUCAUUGGAAACUGGAAGGCUUGAGUACAGAAGAGAAGAGUGGAAUUCCAUGUGUAGCGGUGAAAUGCGUAGAGAUGUGGAGGAACACCAGUGGCGAAGGCGACUCUUUGGUCUGUAACUGACGCUGAGGCGCGAAAGCGUGGGGAGCAAACAGGAUUAGAUACCCUGGUAGUCCACGCCGUAAACGAUGAGUGCUAGGUGUUGGGGGGUUUUCCGCCCCGUCNGUGCUGAGCUACGCAUAAGCACUCCGCCGUCGGGAGGUACGGCCGCGAGGCGNGAACGUACGAAAGGAAGUUAGUACGGCGUGAGACGUAGCCGACGGACGACGACGAGGGAGGAGGG
RNAcentral lists this ribosomal RNA (633 nucleotides) under uncultured bacterium. Its description in RNAcentral is "bacterial SSU rRNA". The stretch from base 1 to 543 matches the Rfam family "Bacterial small subunit ribosomal RNA", at positions 338 to 873 of the family's 1533-position model. The record is from RNAcentral.